CCGCCCAGUCCCUUCGCUGUGCGCGUGCGCCCAGAAGUCUCUUCCCUUCCCAGGCCUGGGUUGGUGUUCGCGAGCGGUUGCCUGUCGCUUGUCGCUCCGCCCGUGAGCUUCACGUGCGCCGAGGCUGCUGCUGAGGCGGGGCGGUCCCGGAUUUCUUUCUGAGGGCACGAGUGGCUAGUGCGAGGCCGCGGCAUAGUAUUAACUGCUUUCGCAAACCGGUGAGGGGUGUCUCUCCCCUUGGACGCCGUCGCGCCUGUCCGGAAGCUAUGAGCGUGGGCGCUCAGGCAAAGCUACCGCCAGAAGUUUUGGCGACGAGCUGGAGUCUCCUGGCGCAGAGAGUGUACAUAGAACCCGCAUUGGAAUUGUUUGGCAAAAGGAAUCUACGUGCUGUCUGCGACAACGAGUAGCCAUUCCCCAGUGGUUUUGGCCAAGGCUACUCUUGUCCAGUUUUCUUUCAGGUUUCAGUCUAAAGGGGAAAACACUUCUUUCCCACAUCAGAUGUUUCCUGAAGCAUGGAGGGGGUGCCACUAACAUAACACUCAAUACUUUGUUCCAGCGCUUCUAGCAAGUUUCCUGAUGUGGCAUUUGGGGGACAACACCUGACUUUACCGGUAGCCCCACAAGAUUCCACAAAAAAAGUGACUUCUUACCUAAGAGGCUAACCACAUCCCAAAUUGAUCUCAGUGGACUCCAUCCCCCCCAUGGUUGUAAGCAUAGUUGAUACAACACAGGAUCCUGCACAUAAGUCCAGCCUUAUCAUACAUUAGUAGAGUGACUUGUCGAAGCUACUUAACUUUCAUCAGCUUCAGUUUCUUCACUUGUAAGAUGGGAUGAGAACAACAUCUUCCCCAAAGAUCGAACACAAGGAUGAAGUGAGAUCUGUCCCUCCUGAUGUAUCUCAGCUGCUGCUGUUCUUCUCCUUCCCUGGAGGCACUGGAGCUGCAUUAUGCUUUAAAAGAUGGACCAUAAAGCCUUUGUUAAGUUGUCCCUAUAAUAUAUCCUUUAUGUCUGUACUUAGAUGAGACUGUAACCCCUAGAGGAGCAGAGCCAAGUUGUUAGCUCGCAUUCAUGGUUCUAAAUUCAGUGCUCUGAGCAGAUCGGGUUUAUCCUUAUGAUGAUGAUGAAGAGGAGUUGGAAGAUUUUUCUUCCAUUAUAUCAAAUGCAACUACUGAGUUUUAUAGGCUCCCUCUUAGAAUUUUCUGGAUGGUCUCCUCUUUUUUUCAUUUGAAUACCUUACUCCCCUGGAGUAAAAUGCAGGAUUGAGAGGUAAAUGAUCUGAAAACAAAUGUACGGUAAUACAUUCACUUUGGCUUACAAAAAUAAAACAACCCAAACCUAGUUUUUCUUAUAGUCUUUAAAUCCAGAUGGUAGUAAAAUUUGACAUUUCAAUUCUGUUUGUGAAAUUCAUUUUGUUUUUAAAUUGGGAAGAACCAUAGAGCUAAAAAUUGUCUGAAGUACUAGGAAGGCCUGGUGAGAC
This is a long non-coding RNA of Phacochoerus africanus (Common warthog), 1477 nucleotides long. RefSeq lists it as uncharacterized. NCBI's taxonomy places the organism in Eukaryota, Metazoa, Chordata, Mammalia, Artiodactyla, Suidae. The transcript has 5 exons. The record is from RefSeq and is a predicted model, not a curated record.